UAGGGGAAUCUUCCGCAAUGGGCGAAAGCCUGACGGAGCAACGCCGCGUGAGUGAUGAAGGUCUUCGGAUCGUAAAACUCUGUUGUUAGGGAAGAACAAAUUUGUUAGUAACUGAACAAGUCUUGACGGUACCUAACCAGAAAGCCACGGCUAACUACGUGCCAGCAGCCGCGGUAAUACGUAGGUGGCAAGCGUUAUCCGGAAUUAUUGGGCGUAAAGCGCGCGUAGGCGGUUUCUUAAGUCUGAUGUGAAAGCCCACGGCUCAACCGUGGAGGGUCAUUGGAAACUGGGAAACUUGAGUGCAGAAGAGGAGAGUGGAAUUCCAUGUGUAGCGGUGAAAUGCGCAGAGAUAUGGAGGAACACCAGUGGCGAAGGCGGCUCUCUGGUCUGUAACUGACGCUGAUGUGCGAAAGCGUGGGGAUCAAACAGGAUU
This 433-nucleotide ribosomal RNA is filed under the name Mammaliicoccus sciuri. Its description in RNAcentral is "bacterial SSU rRNA". It matches the Rfam family "Bacterial small subunit ribosomal RNA", at positions 354 to 779 of the family's 1533-position model. Lineage: Bacteria; Bacillati; Bacillota; Bacilli; Caryophanales; Staphylococcaceae. The record is from RNAcentral.